Molecule: long non-coding RNA, 349 nt
Organism: Xenia sp. Carnegie-2017
Lineage: Eukaryota; Metazoa; Cnidaria; Anthozoa; Malacalcyonacea; Xeniidae
Exons: 2
Source: RefSeq, a predicted model, not a curated record
AUAGUUAGAUUCUAAGGCCAAGACUGUAUGACGCUCUUUCAUAAAAAGCUCUUUGUGUUUCAACACGUAGCUGUUUUGCUAAGCUGAUUGUAAAUGAUUGAAUUCAUUUCACAAAAGAGGCACCAGCACGACUGAACCUCACGGCAAUAUAUUCAUAAUCUCCAACAUAACAUGUAGGGUGUAUUCUUUCACUUUCUUGUCAGUAUAAGUCUUUUUCUUUUUGAUAUUAUAAUUAUAUGAAUACGGUUUAAAAGUCAUUUGUCCAAUAUUUCGUGAUACGAAAUAUAGCUAUUCGAACUUUUUACACAACUGAAAAAUAUUGUACAAUAUAUGUAUUUUCUCGUCUUCA